Molecule: long non-coding RNA, 323 nt
Filed under: Linum usitatissimum (flax)
Lineage: Eukaryota; Viridiplantae; Streptophyta; Magnoliopsida; Malpighiales; Linaceae
Description: long non-coding RNA (LUSI_LNC006663)
Source: RNAcentral
UUGACUAGUUUUUGCUCCGGUUUUGAUGAUAUUUCAUGGUUAUAAGUGUCGGUUUGUACAUUAGUGCAUUUCGUGCUCGUUUCCUCUCGAACGGACCAUUUCGGUUCGUUUCACUUGUUUCUUGGAGUCUUUUCCUUGAUUUCAGGUAUCCGUUGAAUAGAGGGUUCGAAUACGAAGCCGAUGGUACCUUCCGGAGCAAAAUCAGAGUCCGAAUGAAGAAAUUAUGGCCGAAGGAAGUCGAUCAAGGUUGUUGUUGACCAGUCAAUGACGUGUCACGGCCGUGAUGGGUAACCUGUCACGGCCGUGAUGCCUAGUCUGGGCAG